Long non-coding RNA from Bubalus bubalis (water buffalo), 955 nucleotides. RefSeq lists it as uncharacterized. The record is from RefSeq and is a predicted model, not a curated record. NCBI's taxonomy places the organism in Eukaryota, Metazoa, Chordata, Mammalia, Artiodactyla, Bovidae. The transcript is spliced from 2 exons.
CCGAGCACACAGUUCACACUCUACAACAUCCACUACUCUUCUCGGGGGUCUCUGUUCUUCCGUCCUCUCGGAGCUCACGCGGGCCAUGAGGCUCAGGCUAGACAUCCCCCCAGGCACCUGAAACCUCCCUGGUUCUGUUAUAAUCAGUCCAUUUGUUAUUCACAGAUUUUGAACUGCAUCUCAACUCCCACCUCCCAUCCACCAGGCUCCUAGGCCUGAACCACAACUCGAGCGCACAUUUCCAUCCCAUUUGGCCUCUGUGUCCACCAUGUGUCCACAGGACGAGCUUCUACCAUGUGCCGUCAGGAGGGUGGAGAUGCUGCACGUCUCUCAACCAAGCUGCAAGUUCCGUGAGGUCAGGAAUUGGUUGAGUUGCUCAUCUUUGGAUCCCGGAACGGAUCUUCCACCAGAUGGAACAGGAGGCAAGAGAGAGGAUGACACAAAGCAGAGACUUUGUGGGCUCCGUUACCGCUGUGUGAUGAGUGUCAGGGAGGGGCCGGAGGAGCGUCUGGAGCCUGAACUUGGAGAAGCUUGAAUGCCAUUCUCAGGAAUGCCACUGUUAUCCUGUCCGUAUCGGGAGCACCACAGAGCUGGUUUCCACUUCCCAGGGUGCCGCUUUCUCCGUGUCUUGGCAUGUGCUGUUCCCUUCGAGUGGAACACUCUUCCCCUCUCUUCCCACUGGAUAACUCCUCACCAUCCUCCCACAGACUCAAAGGCACCAUCGCUUCCCCAGGAGGCCCUGCCGACUCCUCCCCUGGAUCAGUUCCACCGCUCCUGUCUGAUCACAAACCGCUCUCACUGCUUACUUCACGCUGAUGUGGUAGAAACUGUGAGACCCAGAGAGACCUGUCCACCUGAUCUCCUGUGGGUCCCCCAAUCCAGGUCAGGCAAUGCCUGGCCUCUGAUAAAGGAAGAAAGGAAGAGAGGAAGAAAAAAUAAAAGAGGGGCUGUCAAA